This 646-nucleotide ribosomal RNA is filed under the name Ramaria sp. 6 RG-2012. RNAcentral describes it as "eukaryotic LSU rRNA". The stretch from base 234 to 388 matches the Rfam family "5.8S ribosomal RNA". Lineage: Eukaryota; Fungi; Basidiomycota; Agaricomycetes; Gomphales; Gomphaceae. The record is from RNAcentral.
AAGGAUCAUUACAGUGUUAUCACAACAUCGGCCGCGGGAGGGGGGUUUAAGAUGCUGGCCCGAAAGAGGGCAUGUCGUGACUCGCCCCCCUUCCGUUUCCGUUGCUUGCGCAUAUAUAUCCACACCCGUGAACCUUAAUGGGAGGGUUUGCCCCCUCCCUUUUUUCAAAACCAAAGCCUGUUGAAACGCAUGUCUUGAAGCCCCCACGGGGGUGAGUAAAAAAAGUUUAAUACAACUUUCAACAACGGAUCUCUUGGCUUUCGCAUCGAUGAAGGACGCCGCGAAAGUGCGAAACGUAAUGUGAAUUGCAGAAUUCAGUGAAUCAUCGAAUCUUUGAACGCAUCUUGCGCUCCUUGGCAUUCCGAGGAGCAUGCCUGUUUGAGUGUCGUGAAGCCAUCCCUCGACCCGACUCCUUGGUAGAGUCUGGGUUGGAUUUGGACGUCUGCGGGGGUCCUCUCGCUCGUCUUUAAAUGCAUCAGCUGGCCCCUCACUUCGGGUCGGACCGAUCGACGGUGUGAUAAUAACAAAUCGAACGCCGUUUUGGCCCGACUUUUGCGUGGGGUCGCUUCUAACCCCGGUUCCCCUCGUUUUGGGACCGAUUCGACCAUUUGACCUCAAAUCAGGUAGGACUACCCGCUGAACUUAA